AGUGAACGCUGGCGGUAGGCCUAACACAUGCAAGUCGAACGGCAGCACAGUAAGAGCUUGCUCUUACGGGUGGCGAGUGGCGGACGGGUGAGGAAUACAUCGGAAUCUACUUUUUCGUGGGGGAUAACGUAGGGAAACUUACGCUAAUACCGCGUACGACCUACGGGUGAAAGCAGGGGAUCUUCGGACCUUGCGCGAUUGAAUGAGCCGAUGUCGGAUUAGCUAGUUGGCGGGGUAAAGGCCCACCAAGGCGACGAUCCGUAGCUGGUCUGAGAGGAUAAUCAGCCACACUGGAACUGAGACACGGUCCAGACUCCUACGGGAGGCAGCAGUGGGGAAUAUUGGACAAUGGGCGCAAGCCUGAUCCAGCCAUACCGCGUGGGUGAAGAAGGCCUUCGGGUUGUAAAGCCCUUUUGUUGGGAAAGAAGAGCAGCAGGUUAAUACCCCGCUGUUCUGACGGUACCCAAAGAAUAAGCACCGGCUAACUUCGUG
RNAcentral lists this ribosomal RNA (492 nucleotides) under uncultured bacterium. RNAcentral's name for it is "partial 16S ribosomal RNA". It matches the Rfam family "Bacterial small subunit ribosomal RNA", at positions 29 to 507 of the family's 1533-position model. The record is from RNAcentral.